GCAGGGCAUGGUGGUGUAUGCCUGUAAUCCCAGUAACUUGGGAGGCUGAGGCAGGAGGAUUGCAGAUUCGAAGCCAGCCUCAG
Molecule: small RNA, 83 nt
Filed under: Marmota monax (woodchuck)
Lineage: Eukaryota; Metazoa; Chordata; Mammalia; Rodentia; Sciuridae
Source: RNAcentral